GGCAUCAUCUUGCCAGGAAAUGAGAUUCGCCUCGGGAGGGGCUCACGUGAUAUUAGCUAGUUGGGGGGGUAACGGCCCACCAAGGCGAAGAUGUCUAGCGGGUGUGAGAGCACGACCCGCGCCACUGGCACUGAGACACUGGCCAGACACCUACGGGUGGCUGCAGUCGAGGAUCUUCGGCAAUGGGCGCAAGCCUGACCGAGCGACGCCGCGUGUGCGAUGAAGGCCUUCGGGUUGUAAAGCACUGUCGAGGGGGAGGAAGGCGUAAGCUUGACCUAACCCUGGAGGAAGCACGGGCUAAGUUCGUGCCAGCAGCCGCGGUAAGACGAACCGUGCGAACGUUGUUCGGAAUCACUGGGCUUAAAGGGCGCGUAGGCGGGUCUGCAAGUCCGGGGUGAAAGCCCCCAGCUCAACUGGGGAAGUGCCUUGGAAACUGCGGGUCUGGAGGGAGGUAGGGGCAUGUGGAACUUCGGGUGGAGCGGUGAAAUGCGUUGAUAUCCGAAGGAACGCCGGUGGCGAAAGCGACGUGCUGGACCUUUACUGACGCUGAGGCGCGAAAGCCAGGGGAGCGAACGGGAUUAGAUACCCCGGUAGUCCUGGCCCUAAACGAUGGGUACUAGGUUGCGGACUAGACAUGGGUUCGCAGCCGAAGCAAAAGUGGUAAGUACCCCGCCUGGGGAGUAUGGUCGCAAGGCUGAAACUCAAAGGAAUUGACGGGGGCUCACACAAGCGGUGGAGCAUGUGGCUUAAUUCGAGGCUACGCGAAGAACCUUAUCCUGGGCUUGACAUGUGCGAAAGCGGCAGGGAGUAGGGAGCGGAAACGUUCCCCAACG
RNAcentral lists this ribosomal RNA (833 nucleotides) under uncultured Planctomycetaceae bacterium. RNAcentral describes it as "bacterial SSU rRNA". It matches the Rfam family "Bacterial small subunit ribosomal RNA", at positions 185 to 1034 of the family's 1533-position model. Lineage: Bacteria; Pseudomonadati; Planctomycetota; Planctomycetia; Planctomycetales; Planctomycetaceae. The record is from RNAcentral.